This 59-nucleotide microRNA precursor is filed under the name Blattella germanica (German cockroach). RNAcentral's name for it is "Bge-Mir-96-P3_pre stem-loop". Lineage: Eukaryota; Metazoa; Arthropoda; Insecta; Blattodea; Blattellidae. The record is from RNAcentral.
AAUGGCACUGGAAGAAUUCACGGGGAAUAAAAACGCCCGUGAUUCCCCGGUGCCAUCCC